Molecule: transfer RNA, 75 nt
Filed under: Bacillota bacterium
Lineage: Bacteria; Bacillati; Bacillota
Also listed under: 1 other name
Description: tRNA-Glu
Rfam family: tRNA
About the family: Transfer RNA (tRNA) molecules are approximately 80 nucleotides in length.
Source: RNAcentral
GGUCCCAUGGUCAAGAGGUUAAGACAUCGCCCUUUCACGGCGGUAACAGGGGUUCGAUUCCCCUUGGGACUACCA